Molecule: ribosomal RNA, 441 nt
Filed under: uncultured bacterium
Lineage: Bacteria
Description: partial 16S ribosomal RNA
Rfam family: Bacterial small subunit ribosomal RNA
Source: RNAcentral
CCUACGGGUGGCAGCAGUGGGGAAUAUUGCACAAUGGGGGAAACCCUGAUGCAGCGACGCCGCGUGAGUGAAGAAGUAUUUCGGUAUGUAAAGCCCUAUCAGCAGGGAAGAAGCAAGACGGUACCUGACUAAGAAGCCCCGGCUAACUACGUGCCAGCCGCCGCGGUAAUACGUAGGGGGCACGCGUUAUCCGGAUUUACUGGGUGUAAAGGGAGCGUAGACGGUAUGGCAAGUCGGAAGUGAAAGCCCAGGGCUUAACCCUGGGACGGCUUUGGAAACUGUUAGACUAGAGUGCUGGAGAGGUAAGUGGAAUUCCUAGUGUAGCGGUGAAAUGCGUAGAUAUUAGGAGGAACACCAGUGGCGAAGGCGGCGUACUGGACAGUAACUGACGUUGAGGCUCGAAAGCGUGGGGAGCGAACAGGAUUAGAUACCCUUGUAGUC